This 346-nucleotide long non-coding RNA is filed under the name Elaeis guineensis (African oil palm). RNAcentral describes it as "long non-coding RNA (EGUI_LNC056972)". The record is from RNAcentral. Lineage: Eukaryota; Viridiplantae; Streptophyta; Magnoliopsida; Arecales; Arecaceae.
CUCGUAGCUGGAUCGACUAAGUUUUAUACUGAGUCGACUAAGUUUGGACUGAGCCGGCUAAGUUUCUGGAUGAGUCGGCUAAGUCUGUGGGAAGGCUUGAGCGGUGGGGUUCUGCAGAGUGGUUGAAUUUUAGAAUUUUAAAAAUUAUUUUCAUGGGAUUACUUGGCAGCUAUUUUUGACUUAAAUAAAGGGUUGGAAAAUCAAAUUAUUUGCUGGCUUUUUAUGGAUUGAACACAUAGCAAACUAGUCCUUAAAUUAUUCAUUUCCUAAGGGGUUGUCCAUCGGUUCCUAUUUUGACUUUUCUAGUCCUCUAGUGAAAGCAGAGAAGAUAUAGAAGGAAGGAGGG